This 433-nucleotide ribosomal RNA is filed under the name uncultured bacterium. RNAcentral describes it as "partial 16S ribosomal RNA". It matches the Rfam family "Bacterial small subunit ribosomal RNA", at positions 29 to 507 of the family's 1533-position model. The record is from RNAcentral.
AACGAACGCUGGCGGCAUGCCUAACAUAUGCAAGUCGAACGAGACCUUCGGGUCUAGUGGCGCACGGGUGCGUAACGCGUGGGAACCUGCCCUUAGGUUCGGAAUAACUCCCCGAAAGGGGUGCUAAUACCGGAUAAUGUCUUCGGACCAAAGAUUUAUCGCCUUUGGAUGGGCCCGCGUUGGAUUAGCUAGUUGGUAGGGUAAAAGCCUACCAAGGCGACGAUCCAUAGCUGGUCUGAGAGGAUGAUCAGCCACACUGGGACUGAGACACGGCCCAGACUCCUACGGGAGGCAGCAGUGGGGAAUAUUGGACAAUGGACGAAAGCCUGAUCCAGCAAUGCCGCGUGAGUGAUGAAGGCCUUAGGGUUGUAAAGCUCUUUUACCCGGGAUGAUAAUGACAGUACCGGGAGAAUAAGCUCCGGCUAACUCCGUG